AUUGAACGCUGGCGGCAUGCCUUACACAUGCAAGUCGAACGGUAACGGGCCUUCGGGUGCCGACGAGUGGCGAACGGGUGAGUAAUACAUCGGAACGUGCCCGAUCGUGGGGGAUAACGAGGCGAAAGCUUUGCUAAUACCGCAUACGAUCUACGGAUGAAAGCAGGGGACCGCAAGGCCUUGCGCGGACGGAGCGGCCGAUGGCAGAUUAGGUAGUUGGUGGGAUAAAAGCUUACCAAGCCGACGAUCUGUAGCUGGUCUGAGAGGAUGAUCAGCCACACUGGGACUGAGGCACGGCCCAGACUCCUACGGGAGGCAGCAGUGGGGAAUUUUGGACAAAGGGCGCAAGCCUGAUCCAGCCAUGCCGCGUGCAGGAUGAAGGCCUUCGGGUUGUAAACUGCUUUUGUACGGAACGAAAAGCCUUCUUUUAAUACAGGAGGGUCAUGACGGUACCGUAAGAAUAAGCACCGGCUAACUACGUG
RNAcentral lists this ribosomal RNA (482 nucleotides) under uncultured bacterium. RNAcentral's name for it is "partial 16S ribosomal RNA". It matches the Rfam family "Bacterial small subunit ribosomal RNA", at positions 30 to 507 of the family's 1533-position model. The record is from RNAcentral.